UCCCAAUGAGGAAACACUCACACGUCUAACUUCCUGUCCUGGUCCCAGAGCCUGCAAAGGUGAACCCACUGGGGCUGGCUGGGGGAAAAGAGGAGAACCUGUUCCAGAAGGAACUGUCUGAGGGAC
This is a small nucleolar RNA of Ochotona princeps (American pika), 126 nucleotides long. RefSeq annotates it as small nucleolar RNA SNORD22. Lineage: Eukaryota; Metazoa; Chordata; Mammalia; Lagomorpha; Ochotonidae. The transcript has a single exon. The record is from RefSeq and is a predicted model, not a curated record.